Anguilla anguilla (European eel) is the source of this 1290-nucleotide long non-coding RNA. RefSeq lists it as uncharacterized. The transcript has 3 exons. NCBI's taxonomy places the organism in Eukaryota, Metazoa, Chordata, Actinopteri, Anguilliformes, Anguillidae. The record is from RefSeq and is a predicted model, not a curated record.
GCGCAACACAGGACCUGAACAACAGUUCUACAACCCGGUGCGCCGUAAAUAUCGCCUGCACACCAAGAGAACUGAGAAGUGUGCUGGACAUUGGGACACCGGAAAGAACGAUGGCGGGAGGGCGGACACAGCAUGGGCACGGACCUGGCAGCCUACUGCAGGGACACUGCGACAGGUGGAUGAGCUGGCCAAUGGCAGGGAUGGCCGCCUUCGAGUGCUACAAAGCCGAAUGAAAAUUGAAUUCAGCGGUUUACCAAAUUCUCUGGACUCACGUAAGAAAAAAUAAUUAGUGCAAUCAGGACAGUCACGCUAAUAUCCCCCGACCAAAACCAGCUUCCUCUGCUGAACAACACAAUUUUAUAGCAAUUAUUACUGCUCCACUACUGUGAGUGCAGUGAUAACUGCGGUAAAACUCCUGGACAUUGUGGUUCCGAGGCGCAGAAGGAGGUGCCACGUUCCUGGAGCAGGAGAGGAGGAGGUGCCCACUUCUUCAUGACCAGCGGCUCUCCUGUUACCCCCCCACCCCCCUGACGGACGAUGGCAGCAAACUGAGGAUGAGGUGCCUGGGCCUUCGGCGUCAGCUCACACCCACCUUCACCUCGGCUGGUGCGAUUGGUCAGAAAGGGUCGGCGAUGUCCCGUGAUUGGACAGAAAGGGUCGGCGAUGUCCCGAAAACAUACGAACACACAAACGGAGCCGUAGCCGUGGAGCUCGCGGCGUCUCUCCGCUAUAAAUAGGCCGUCGGAUACGAGCGCGCUGAAAUACCCCUCACACGGGUGGGGAUUAGAGCGGCGGAGAAGAUGCCAUUCACCCCCUACAAGCCCUUAAUUACACUUCAAAGCACUGCUGCACUACUGCCAGUUUUGCAAUAGGAUAAAAAUUUAGAUCCUGAUUCAGUCACAUCCACUUCCUCAUACGGCCUAGCAAGAGCUGGAGAGACAAACCUCACACACAACACACACACGCUCAUGCAGACAUGCACACACACACACACACACACACACACACACAGACAGUUUCUUUCUGAAGGCCACACCCAAACGGAUAUUCUAAGGUCCUGAGGGAAUAUUUUCAGACUGGCGAAAAGUGAUAAAUAAAUAAAUAAAUAACGGAACCCUCCCUGCUCAGUGUCACUCUAGCGUCUCCUAGUGACGAGGUUGCAGAAGUACAGGAACAGUGUGGGAGACAGAGCAGGACACUGCGUUCGGCACCUCAGCAGUGUUACAAUAAACACAGCCAGGACUCCCCGGGCCCUCCCACACCCUGGCCCCUCCCAUAGCCCAGCCCUUC